Anneissia japonica is the source of this 460-nucleotide long non-coding RNA. RefSeq lists it as uncharacterized. The record is from RefSeq and is a predicted model, not a curated record. The transcript is spliced from 4 exons. Lineage: Eukaryota; Metazoa; Echinodermata; Crinoidea; Comatulida; Comatulidae.
CACUGUUUUUUAUUGCUUGUAAGUCAAUAUGUAAAACAAGAUUCGAAGUUAUGUUUCCAUAUCAAUGUUGUAAAGGAAUGGAAACGCUGUACGUAGUUUUCUGAUUUUUCUAGAUACAUGUUUUUAUUUUAUUAGAUCGUAAUGGCUCUGUGGUUAUUCCUCCAAUUAUUCCGAUCCCAUCAUCACCAGCCACAAGUGAAACUUCUUUUGAAAAUGAUGAUGGAAAUGUUCAUAGUGAAGUCAGCCCAACUAAUAAUAAUGCUGGUAGUAGAAUGGUCUAUGGCUUAGAAGAUUGGUACGCAGCUGAUGAUGAUGCUCUGGAAUCAUUUAUGUCCUCCACAACUUCAGAAGGUGAAAAUGGUGAUGAGGAACUUAACGUAGAAGCUGCAGAAUCCCCAGAAACAAGUACAACAGUUACACAAGAUAAUGAGUCAACAACAGUUGCACAACAACAAAAAGG